RNAcentral lists this ribosomal RNA (778 nucleotides) under uncultured Neocallimastigales. RNAcentral describes it as "partial large subunit ribosomal RNA". It matches the Rfam family "Eukaryotic large subunit ribosomal RNA", at positions 22 to 645 of the family's 3401-position model. Lineage: Eukaryota; Fungi; Neocallimastigomycota; Neocallimastigomycetes; Neocallimastigales. The record is from RNAcentral.
GUACACGCUGUGACUAGCAUAUCAAUAAGCGGAGGAAAAGAAACUAACAAGGAUUCCCCUAGUAACGGCGAGUGAAGCGGGAAGAGCUCAAAUUUGAAAUCUUAAAGGGUUUCCCUUUACGAAUCGUAGUUUAAAGAAGUGUUUUCUGUUGAGGUUUGGGUAAAAGUUCUUUGGAAUAGGACAUCAUAGAGGGUGAGAAUCCCGUAUUUGACCUUUACGUUCAACUUUGUGAUACACUUUCAAAGAGUCGGAUUGUUUGGGAAUGCAGUCCAAAAUGGGUGGUAAAUUUCAUCUAAAGCUAAAUAUUGGCGAGAGACCGAUAGCGAACAAGUACCGUGAGGGAAAGAUGAAAAGAACUUUGAAAAGAGAGUUAAACAGUACGUGAAAUUGUCAAAAGGGAAGCGUUUGACACCAGUGUUGUUUUUCUGAAAAUCAAUUAAAGAACUGUUUAUGCUAAGCUGUUUAGACUUUAUCAGCUAUCUGUUUAGUUUUGAGCUUUUCUUUAAUGCACUUUUCAGUUAACAAGUCAACAUCAAUUUCUUUUGCUGUAAAAAGCUUGAGGAAGGUGGCUUGAGAUUCGUCUUAAGUGUUUAUAGCCUCUUGCCUAUGCAGUCGGAGAGAUUGAGGUCUGCAGCGUAGAUCCUUCGGGGUUAAGAUAGCAUUUGUGCUAAGUUAUAGCAUUUUCAUAGACAACUUGAUGACUAUGAUUUAGUCUUGUAGCUUACUCGCUUAUGCUAUCUUUACCUACGCUUAGGAUGUUGAAGUCAUCGUAUCGCGC